GAUGAACGCUGGCGGCGUGCCUAAUACAUGCAAGUCGAGCGAACGGACGAGAAGCUUGCUUCUCUGAUGUUAGCGGCGGACGGGUGAGUAACACGUGGAUAACCUACCUAUAAGACUGGGAUAACUUCGGGAAACCGGAGCUAAUACCGGAUAAUAUUUUGAACCGCAUGGUUCAAAAGUGAAAGACGGUCUUGCUGUCACUUAUAGAUGGAUCCGCGCUGCAUUAGCUAGUUGGUAAGGUAACGGCUUACCAAGGCAACGAUGCAUAGCCGACCUGAGACGGUGAUCGGCCACACUGGAACUGAGACACGGUCCAGACUCCUACGGGAGGCAGCAGUAGGGAAUCUUCCGCAAUGGGCGAAAGCCUGACGGAGCAACGCCGCGUGAGUGAUGAAGGUCUUCGGAUCGUAAAACUCUGUUAUUAGGGAAGAACAUAUGUGUAAGUAACUGUGCACAUCUUGACGGUACCUAAUCAGAAAGCCACGGCUAACUACGUG
Molecule: ribosomal RNA, 497 nt
Filed under: uncultured bacterium
Lineage: Bacteria
Description: partial 16S ribosomal RNA
Rfam family: Bacterial small subunit ribosomal RNA
Source: RNAcentral